This is a long non-coding RNA of Stegostoma tigrinum, 567 nucleotides long. RefSeq lists it as uncharacterized. NCBI's taxonomy places the organism in Eukaryota, Metazoa, Chordata, Chondrichthyes, Orectolobiformes, Stegostomatidae. The record is from RefSeq and is a predicted model, not a curated record. The transcript is spliced from 4 exons.
UAUGUUGUAUUGGGCUUCCAAGGCAUUCAACAAAGUACCACACAAAAGAUUAAAUCAUAAGAUAAGAGUCUACACAAUGCUGAAGGCUGUGUAUUAGUGUGGAUUGAGAAUUCGCUUAUCGCCGAGAAACAGCAAGUGGGGUUCCACAGGGAUCAGUGCUGGAACCAGCUCAGGAUGUGCAAAUGCUUUCAAUUUAGUUUGUAUUUUAGCAAUCUGCGAGAAGUUGAGGAAAAUACAAUCCAAAAGAAGAGUCAGAGAUAUUCACCAAUUUAGCAGCACGUAUACGAAAAGAGAUGGACAAACAAACAAUCCGCAACCUCCACAGUGGAAUUGGACAGCAGGAUCAUUGGGAACUUCACUGGUGCAGACAGGAACAUUGGAUCUUCCUGGUCUACAAGGCUCAGUACCACAUUAUGCAAGAAUUUAUUUACUGAGGAAUCAAGAAAGCUUCAAAAACAAUAAACAGCCUCGAUUUAAACAGGGAUGCGAAGCAUUUUAAUGCUGUGGUUAAGAAGUCUUCUCAACAACUCUCCUCACGCAACCUACUCAAAUGAGAGAAAGCCUGAA